Molecule: ribosomal RNA, 1309 nt
Filed under: Santalum album (white sandalwood)
Lineage: Eukaryota; Viridiplantae; Streptophyta; Magnoliopsida; Santalales; Santalaceae
Description: bacterial SSU rRNA
Rfam family: Bacterial small subunit ribosomal RNA
Source: RNAcentral
AGAGUCUGAUCCUGGCUGAUGAACGCUGGCGGCAUGCUUAAACAUGCAAGUCGGACGGAAGUGUGUUUGGUGGACGGGUGAGUAACGCGUAAGAACUCGCUCCUUGAGGGAACAACAGCUACAAUACCCCUGUAGGCUGAGGAGCAAAAGGAGGAAUCCCGAGGAGGGGCUGCGUCUGAUUAGCUAGUUGGUGAGGCACAUUACCAAGGCGAAUUAGUAGCUGGUCCGAGAGGGUGAUCAGCCACACUGACUGAGACACGGCCCAGACUCCUACGGAGGCAGCAGGGGGUUUUCCGCAAUGGAAGCCGACGGAGCAAUGCCGCGUGAAGGCCCAUGGUCGUGAACUCUUCCCGGAGAAGCAAUGACGGCUGGGGAAUACAUCGGCUAACCUGUGCCAGCAGCCGCGGUAAUACAGAUAGCAAGCGUUAUCCGAAGAUUGGGCGUAAAGCGUCUGUAGGUGGUUUUUGUCCGCUGUCAUCCCAGGGCUCAACCCUGACAGGCGGUGGAAACUACCAAGCUGGAGUACGGUAGCAGAGGAAUUUGGUGGAGCGGUGAAAUGCUUAGAGAUCGGAAAGAACACCAACGCGAAAGCACUCUGCUGGGCCGACACUGACACGAGAGACGAAAGUUAGGGGAGCGAAUAACCCCAGUAGUCCUAGCCGUAAACGAUGGAUACUAGGCGCUGUGCGUAUCGACCGUGCAGUGCUGUAGCUAACGCGUUAAGUACCCCGCCUGGGGAGUACGUCUCGCGAAACUCAAAGGAAUUGACGGGGCCCGCACAAGCGGUGGAGCAUGUGGUUUAAUUCGAUGCAAAGCGAAGAACCUUACUGGGGCUUGACAUGCGCGAAUCCUCUUGAAAGAGGUGCCUUCGGGAACGGACAGGUGGUGCAUGGCUGUCGUCAGCUCAGCCGGUGUUGGUUAUCCCGCAACGAGCGCAACCUCGUAGGCCGCUGUUGAGUUUGACCCUGAACAGAUGCCGGUGAUAAGCCGAGAAGGUGAGAUGACGUCAUCAUCAUGCCCCCGCCCUGGGCGACACACGCUACAAUGGCUGGGACAAGCAUCCGCGAGGGUGAGCACCCAAAACCGUCCUCAGUCUGGAUUGUGGCGCAACCGCCUGCAUGAAGCCGGAAUCGCUAGUAAUCGCCGGUCAGCCAUACGGCGAAUCUGUUCCUGGGCUGUACACACCGCCCGUCACACUAUGGGAGCUGGCCAUGCCCGAAGUCGUUACCUAACCGCAAGGAGGGGGAUGCUGAAGGCAGGGACUGGAGUGAAGUCGUAACAAGUGCAGUGCAUCCGGAAGGUGCGGCUG